AAUAGAUACCCCGGUAGUCCACGCCCGUAAACGUUGGGAACUAGAUGUGGGGUCCAUUCCACGGAUUCCGUGUCGCAGCGUAACGCAUUAAGUUCCCCCGCCUGGGGAGUACGGCCGCAAGGCUAAAACUCAAAGGAAUUGACGGGGGCCCGCACAAGCGGCGGAGCAUGCGGAUUAAUUCGAUGCAACGCGAAGAACCUUACCAAGGCUUGACAUAUACCUGAAAAGGCUGGAAACAGUCUCCCCCGCAAGGCAGGUAUACGAGGUGGUUGCAUGGUUGUCGUCAGCUCGUGUCGUGAGAUGUUGGGUUAAGUCCCGCAACGAGCGCAACCCUCGUUCUAUGUUGCCAGCACGUAAUGGUGGGAACUCAUAGGAGACUGGCCGGGGUCAACUCGGAGGAAGGUGGGGAUGACGUCAAAUCAUCAUGCCCCUUAUGUCUUGGGCUUCACGCAUGCUACAAUGGCCGGUACAAAGGGCUGCAACGUACCGCAAGGGUGGAGCGAAUCCCGAAAAAGCCGGUCUCAGUUCGGAUUGAGGUCUGCAACUCGACCU
This 552-nucleotide ribosomal RNA is filed under the name uncultured bacterium. RNAcentral's name for it is "bacterial SSU rRNA". It matches the Rfam family "Bacterial small subunit ribosomal RNA", at positions 777 to 1318 of the family's 1533-position model. The record is from RNAcentral.